UGGGGAAUAUUGGACAAUGGGGGGCAACCCUGAUCCAGCAAUGCCGCGUGUGUGAAGAAGGUCUUCGGAUUGUAAAGCACUUUCGACGGGGACGAUGAUGACGGUACCCGUAGAAGAAGCCCCGGCUAACUUCGUGCCAGCAGCCGCGGUAAUACGAAGGGGGCUAGCGUUGCUCGGAAUGACUGGGCGUAAAGGGCGUGUAGGCGGUUUACACAGUCAGAUGUGAAAUCCCCGGGCUUAACCUGGGAGCUGCAUUUGAUACGUGUAGACUAGAGUGUGAGAGAGGGUUGUGGAAUUCCCAGUGUAGAGGUGAAAUUCGUAGAUAUUGGGAAGAACACCGGUGGCGAAGGCGGCAACCUGGCUCAUGACUGACGCUGAGGCGCGAAAGCGUGGGGAGCAAACAGGAUUAGAUACCCUGGUAGUCCACGCUGUAAACGAUGUGUGCUAGAUGUUGGGUACUUU
Molecule: ribosomal RNA, 462 nt
Filed under: uncultured bacterium
Lineage: Bacteria
Description: partial 16S ribosomal RNA
Rfam family: Bacterial small subunit ribosomal RNA
Source: RNAcentral